Molecule: unclassified non-coding RNA, 213 nt
Filed under: plant metagenome
Description: partial contains small subunit ribosomal RNA, internal transcribed spacer 1, and 5.8S ribosomal RNA
Source: RNAcentral
UCUCCGUAGGUGAACCUGCGGAGGGAUCACUACAGGCUUGCAAAAGCUCUGAAACCACUGUUUAUCUACCUGAAUCUGCUCCGGCGGGCGGCCCCAGGGCGGGGCCGUAGCCGCAAGGCGCCCGCCGAAGACCCCUAAACUCUGUCGUCUUGAGAAUCUCUGAGUAUCAUAUUAAACAGAAAACAACUUUCAACAACGGAUCUCUUGGCUCUG